AUGAAUGGUUUGUCUUGGUCCAGAACA
Molecule: non-coding RNA, 27 nt
Filed under: Cricetulus griseus (Chinese hamster)
Lineage: Eukaryota; Metazoa; Chordata; Mammalia; Rodentia; Cricetidae
Source: RNAcentral